RNAcentral lists this ribosomal RNA (250 nucleotides) under uncultured bacterium. Its description in RNAcentral is "partial 16S ribosomal RNA". It matches the Rfam family "Bacterial small subunit ribosomal RNA", at positions 524 to 773 of the family's 1533-position model. The record is from RNAcentral.
UACGGAGGGUGCAAGCGUUAUCCGGAUUCACUGGGUUUAAAGGGUGCGUAGGUGGACAAGUAAGUCAGUGGUGAAAUCCCCGAGCUUAACUCGGGAACUGCCGUUGAUACUAUUUGUCUUGAAUAUCGUGGAGGUAAGCGGAAUAUGUCAUGUAGCGGUGAAAUGCUUAGAGAUGACAUAGAACACCAAUUGCGAAGGCAGCUUGCUACGCGGUAAUUGACACUGAGGCACGAAAGCGUGGGGGGCAAAC